GUUGCUAAUGACAACAUAAAGAUGUUUUGAAAUGACGAUUUCUUUCUCAUGCGAAAAAUUACAUCUGUUACAGUCAUGAAACUUACUCAUCUAUGCAAGACAAAAAUAUUUACAUAUUUUCUACUUAUUGAUGUGUACAGUUUCGACUAUUAUUAAAUAGAUAUGAUUUCAUUGUUCUUAUUUGUCAAUGAAACGAUUAAAUCUUCCAACUUGCUUCGUUAAACCCCUUGGCCCCUUUUAUCUGUGAGAAGUUAACGAGGAUUAAACGUAUUUAGGGAAAUACUUGCAGAGAUAUGAUGACAGAUUGCCAAGAAGGUAAAAAAAUGAGCAUUUUUGACACCUGCUUCUCUUUGCUUUCAAUCAAGGUUCCAAAGCUGCCAAAAACAGCUUGAGAAAUUUGUGUUGUGUGUGAAAACACUAUUACUGAAAGAACUGCAUAGAAAAUGUUUUCACAUGACAAGGAAGAGAAAUUUGACCUCACAGAUGCUCUGCAUUUCAGCCGACCUGUUUAGUUCAUUGAAUAUCAAUUGAACAAGCUCAUCCAUGAGGAUCCACAUCAAUCCAUAAAUGAGAUACUCUCAUGAUACUGUUAACCAUCAUCUUCACUUGAUUGGUAAGGUCUAUUGCACCCACUGUAGUCUCCUGAUAUAACAUCUUCAGAUUAUAGCCUGUAGUGAAACCUCUCUCUCCGGUAUUUAAUUACAAAUGAUAAUGUGGCGGCUAACAUCUAGCUUUCGGCCGCUUGGACCCUUGUGUCCAUCACCCUGAUUAGUUCUUAUUUGUGCGGCAUUUGUCAACAGUUCUGUUUCACGCCAGGGUGCAUACCGUCCAAUCGUGGCCUUCUAAUAAGGUCAUGUGAGAGAGUGUUUUCUGCCGGUUUCCAGUGAGCCCUUUUUCAUCUAUAAAUAAGCCUGCUUCAACCACGCCAGUUUGUCUCGGCUUUAGACCUCUCACAGGUCUUGUUGCAGACCACACACAGAACACAGCACCAGCCAGUUUCCAGCGACGACGUCAACAUCACCAAUCUACUGUCUAUUACAGUUCCAUCGCCAGCACCACCACCAGAGUACACACACCAACAACCGCGGUUUCAUCUCAACACUGUUUGAGUGGAUUGUUUCCACCACGAAGAACAGCCAGACCAACCAGCGAGAAUCUUCUGUACCAAGUAACCAGUCCAGCAUCGACGCUUAACUUCACACACAUAUUGUUGUAUACACACUAUUGUUCACACGAAGGCCUGCGUUAUUUAUAUUGCCGCAUGCACACACACACACAGUUCACUAUGUUAAUAAACCUACUCUUUAUAUAUCUAA
Long non-coding RNA from Octopus bimaculoides (California two-spot octopus), 1316 nucleotides. RefSeq lists it as uncharacterized. Lineage: Eukaryota; Metazoa; Mollusca; Cephalopoda; Octopoda; Octopodidae. The record is from RefSeq and is a predicted model, not a curated record.